RNAcentral lists this ribosomal RNA (433 nucleotides) under uncultured bacterium. Its description in RNAcentral is "partial 16S ribosomal RNA". It matches the Rfam family "Bacterial small subunit ribosomal RNA", at positions 29 to 507 of the family's 1533-position model. The record is from RNAcentral.
AACGAACGCUGGCGGCAUGCCUAACACAUGCAAGUCGAACGAGACCUUCGGGUCUAGUGGCGCAUGGGUGCGUAACGCGGGGGAACCUGCCCUUAGGUUCGGAAUAACUCCCCGAAAGGGGUGCUAAUACCGGAUAAUGUCUUCGGACCAAAGAUUUAUCGCCUUUGGAUGGGCCCGCGUUGGAUUAGCUAGUUGUUAGGGUAAAAGCCUACCAAGGGGACGAUCCAUAGCUGGUCAGAGAGGAUGAUCAGCCACACUGGGACUGGGACACGGCCCAGACUCCUACGGGAGGCAGCAGUGGGGAAUAUUGGACAAUGGGCGAAAGCAUGAUCCAGCAAUGCCGGGUGAGUGAUGAAGGCCUUAGGGUUGUAAAGCUCUUUUACCCGGGAUGAUAAUGACGGUACCGAAAGAAUAAGCUCCGGCUAACUCCGUG